RNAcentral lists this long non-coding RNA (663 nucleotides) under Cricetulus griseus (Chinese hamster). Its description in RNAcentral is "lncRNA (ENSCGRG00015029587.1)". Lineage: Eukaryota; Metazoa; Chordata; Mammalia; Rodentia; Cricetidae. The record is from RNAcentral.
GAGAUCGCGACCGUGGAGCCGCAGCGGUGGCGCUAGAGACAGACACGCCUCCUGGCGCGGGUUCCUCGCCUCCCGCUUUAAAGGAGCCGUGCUUCUUUCAGGCAGCUGGUCCUAGCUCCAGGGCUCCCAGGCCCACCGCCGAGCCGCGCACACUCCUUAUUUCAAGAUCUCCUGUGAGAGAAUUCCGGGCGCUGACCAUCUAGUGCUUCCCAAACACCCCACCGUGAUUUCGUCCCCUGCCAGCAUACCCACAUCCAGGGAUAUAGGGCAGCCGGGGCCCAGAUGCUCUGAAUGAUAGUGGGUCCUCACCUCCAGUUAAAAUAUGCCUCAGUUCUACUUGAGACUAAAGUAGCUAUCUAAUGGAAUUCUUUCAUCUUCCAUGAAUGUUAUUUUCUGGACUGAGAAGAAAAGCUCAAGAUAUAUGGAGAGAACAUCUGGAAUAGGCAAACAUAAUAGUCUGGGGGAUUUUUAUAAAGCCGGACCCGACACAGAGCAAAAGAUCACCCAGUUUGUAAACUGCUUCCAUUCAUGGCAUUCCAUGUGGAAGGCAAGUUCUCUUCAUGAAACUCACAGUUGACCUACACAAAUAGUCUCUCUAUUCUCUGCUCCAAGACUAGAGUUACAGUCAAGACUCCAUGGCCACCCAGCAUUGUGUGUUGUGAG